CCCACAGCCAGCCGCGGCCAGGAAACGCGCGCGUCGAGAGCUCCGAGCCUUCGCGUGGUCAAGCCAAUGGGUUGGUGGGCGUGGGAUGCGUGGACCUCGCUCUUCGCUCUUCCCACCCAUCGCCGGUCGGGCUCUGGAGUUACAGGGAAGGAGCUGAGCCCUGAUGCACAACUUGAGCCUGUGCUACCCUCCCCCAGUCCUUCACACGCUUGUCGCUGAUGCACUGGACCUGUGUAACAUGUGACAUGUAACACGAGGGCGAAGAGGCACAAGAGAUCCCCUCCAGCACUGAAAGGCACCUGCAGGCAGGAGGGAGCUUUCAGCACCUUUGGUGUGGACACUGAUCCAAGGUGCAGUGGGACACGCUGCCUGCCCCAGCUGGAGCGGGUGCCAGAGCCUUCAGCAGCCUGGGGGGACGUGGGGCUCUCCUGAGUACAGAAGGGCGUCUUCAACACCUCAGAGCUGGUACAGGACCCUGCAAGGAGCAGGACAGUGACCCCAGCAGCCAUCAUCACCCCAGGGUCUCUCCUCUCUGAGCUUGUAGGGGUGCUGGAGGGCAGUGGAAGGGAGCUCUACCCAUGGAAACCCUGAGCACCCCUGGCACGGAGGGCACUGUGCAUUUUGUCCAGACAGGCUGGCUGAACAUGACAGCCGUGAUCACUGGGACUCUUUUCUUGGCUUCCUGCAUCCCUAGAAUGCAGCAUUUGUGCAUCAGGGCAUUUAUUCAAAUCCAAACAUCAGGGAUUCAAAUCCAGACAUCUCUGCCCUUCCUAGAUUCCUGCACCUUACGCCUCCUCUGCGCCACACGUGCGUUCAUCAGCUUUCACCCUGCUCCUCACCACCCAGUGGAGGGGGAACUGGACACCAAGCCCUCAGAGAGCCUUUAUGAGCUUCCUUUAUGAACUUUCUUUAUGAAUUUCCUUUAUGAACUUCCUACUUCCUAACCUCUCUGAGUGCCUGCCCAACAUGGCCAGAGCAUCCCCUCAUUUCAGCGCUGUGCUGGGAGCACCCACGCCUGGGCAGGGCUCCUGCUCCUCACCAGCAGACCCAAACACUGCUGCUCU
Molecule: long non-coding RNA, 1064 nt
Organism: Hirundo rustica (Barn swallow)
Lineage: Eukaryota; Metazoa; Chordata; Aves; Passeriformes; Hirundinidae
Exons: 3
Source: RefSeq, a predicted model, not a curated record